RNAcentral lists this ribosomal RNA (253 nucleotides) under uncultured bacterium. RNAcentral's name for it is "partial 16S ribosomal RNA". It matches the Rfam family "Bacterial small subunit ribosomal RNA", at positions 524 to 776 of the family's 1533-position model. The record is from RNAcentral.
UACGGGGGGGGCAAGCGUUGUUCGGAAUUACUGGGCGUAAAGGGCUCGUAGGCGGCCAACUAAGUCCGACGUGAAAUCCCCAGGCUUAACCUGGGAACUGCGUCGGAUACUGGAUGGCUUGAAUCCGGGAGAGGGAUGCGGAAUUCCAGGUGUAGCGGUGAAAUGCGUAGAUAUCUGGAGGAACACCGGUGGCGAAGGCGGCAGCCUGGACCGGCAUUGACGCUGAUGAGCGAAAGCCAGGGGAGCAAACGGG